ACUCAAAGGAAUUGACGGGGACCUGCACAAGCGGUGGAUUAUGUGGUUUAAUUCGAUAGUACACGAGAAACCUUACCAGGGCUUGAAAUCCUUCGAAUGCCGAGUAAUUUUGGCAGUGCCGCAAGGAGCGAGGAGACAGGUGCUGCAUGGUCGUCGUCAGCUCGUGUCGUGAGAUGUUCGGUUAAGUCCGGAAACGAGCGCAACCCCUGUGCUGUGUUAUAUUUGUCACAGCAGACUGCCAGUGUUAAACUGGAGGAAGGCGGGGAUGACGUCAGAUCAGCAUGGCCCUUACGUCCUGGGCUACACACAUAAUACAAUGGACGGUACAGCGGGCAGCUAAAUCGUAAGAUGGAGCCAAUCCCACAAAACCGUUCUCAGUUCAGAUUGUGGUCUGCAACCCGACCACAUGAAGUCGGAAUCGCUAGUAAACGCACAUCAUCAGGGUGCGUUGAAUACGUUCUCUGGUCUUGCACACACCGCCCGU
Molecule: ribosomal RNA, 484 nt
Filed under: uncultured bacterium
Lineage: Bacteria
Description: partial 16S ribosomal RNA
Rfam family: Bacterial small subunit ribosomal RNA
Source: RNAcentral